This 497-nucleotide ribosomal RNA is filed under the name uncultured bacterium. Its description in RNAcentral is "partial 16S ribosomal RNA". It matches the Rfam family "Bacterial small subunit ribosomal RNA", at positions 28 to 507 of the family's 1533-position model. The record is from RNAcentral.
GAUGAACGCUGGCGGCGUGCCUAAUACAUGCAAGUCGAGCGAACGGACGAGAAGCUUGCUUCUCUGAUGUUAGCGGCGGACGGGUGAGUAACACGUGGAUAACCUACCUAUAAGACUGGGAUAACUUCGGGAAACCGGAGCUUAUACCGGAUGAUAUUUUGAACCGCAUGGUUCAAAAGUGAAAGACGGUCUUGCUGUCACUUAUAGAUGGAUCCGGGCUGCAUUAGCUAGUUGGUAAGGUAACGGCUUACCAAGGCAACGAUGCAUAGCCAACCUGAGAGGGUGAUCGGCCCCACUGGAACUGGAACACGGUCAGGACUCCUCCGGGAGGCAGCAGUAGGGAAUCUUCCGCAAGGAGCGAAAGCCUGACGGAGCAAGGCCGCGUGAGUGAUGAAGGUCUUCGGAUCGUAAAACUCUGUUAUUAGGGAAGAACAUAUGUGUAAGUAACUGUGCACAUCUUGACGGUACCUAAUCAGAAAGCCACGGCUAACUACGUG